GGUCAAGCGAACAAGUGCAUGUGGUGGAUGCCUUGGCGAUCACAGGCGAUGAAGGACGCGGUAGCCUGCGAAAAGCGGGGGGGAGCUGGCAAACGAGCUUUGAUCCCCCGAUAUCCGAAUGGGGAAACCCACUCCUUAUGGAGUAUCCGUAACUGAAUACAUAGGUUACGUGAAGCGAACGCGGUGAACUGAAACAUCUAAGUAACCGCAGGAAAAGAAAUCAACCGAGAUUCCCAGAGUAGUGGCGAGCGAAAUGGGACCAGCCUGUACUCUUUAUCUUCAUUGUUAGUCGAAGGCUCUGGAAAGUGCCGCCAUAGCAGGUGAUAGCCCUGUAGACGAAAACAGCGAGGAAGAACUGGGUGUACGACAAGUAGGGCGGGACACGUGAAAUCCUGUCUGAAGAUGGGGGGACCAUCCUCCAAGGCUAAAUACUCGUGAUCGACCGAUAGUGAACCAGUACCGUGAGGGAAAGGCGAAAAGAACCCCGGGAGGGGAGUGAAAUAGAUCCUGAAACCGCAUGCAUACAAACAGUCGGAGCCUCGCAAGGGGUGACGGCGUACCUUUUGUAUAAUGGGUCAGCGACUUACAUUCAGUGGCAAGCUUAACCGAUUAGGGCAGGCGUAGCGAAAGCGAGUCCGAACAGGGCGUUCAGUCGCUGGGUGUAGACCCGAAACCAGGUGAUCUAUCCAUGGCCAGGAUGAAGGUGCGGUAACACGUACUGGAGGUCCGAACCCACUAACGUUGAAAAGUUAGGGGAUGAGCUGUGGAUAGGGGUGAAAGGCUAAACAAACCUGGAAAUAGCUGGUUCUCUCCGAAAACUAUUUAGGUAGUGCCUCGUGUAUCACCUUCGGGGGUAGAGCACUGUCAUGGUUGUGGGGUCCAUUGCGGAUUACUACGCCAUAGCAAACUCCGAAUACCGAAGAGUGCAAUCACGGGAGACAGACAUCGGGUGCUAACGUCCGGUGUCAAGAGGGAAACAACCCAGACCGCCAGCUAAGGUCCCCAAAUAUUGCUAAGUGGGAAACGAAGUGGGAAGGCUAAAACAGUCAGGAGGUUGGCUUAGAAGCAGCCAUCCUUUAAAGAAAGCGUAAUAGCUCACUGAUCGAGUCGUCCUGCGCGGAAGAUGUAACGGGGCUAAGCAAUAUACCGAAGCUGCGGAUGCACAUUUAUGUGCAUGGUAGGAGAGCGUUCCGUAAGCCUGCGAAGGUGCAUUGAAAAGUGCGCUGGAUAUGCAUGGUAGGAGAGCGUUCCGUAAGCCUGCGAAGGUGCAUUGAAAAGUGCGCUGGAGGUAUCGGAAGUGCGAAUGCUGACAUGAGUAGCGAUAAAGGGGGUGAAAGGCCCCCUCGCCGUAAGCCCAAGGUUUCCUACGCAACGUUCAUCGGCGUAGGGUGAGUCGGCCCCUAAGGCGAGGCAGAAAUGCGUAGCUGAUGGGAAGCAGGUUAAUAUUCCUGCACCAUUGUUAAAUGCGAUGGGGGGACGGAUCGCGGAAGGUUGUCCGGGUGUUGGAAGUCCCGGUCCUUGCAUUGGAGAAGGCGCUUAGGCAAAUCCGGGCGCGGAAUUCAAGGGUGCGAGGCCAUUCACUUCGGUGAAGAAGCAACUGGAAGUGGUUCCAAGAAAAGCCUCUAAGCUUCAGUUUAACAAGACCGUACCGCAAACCGACACAGGUGGGCGAGAUGAGUAUUCUAAGGCGCUUGAGAGAACUCGGGAGAAGGAACUCGGCAAAUUGGUACCGUAACUUCGGGAUAAGGUACGCCCCUGUAGCUUGACUGGCCUGCGCCAGGAGGGUGAAGGGGUUGCAAUAAACUGGUGGCUGCGACUGUUUAAUAAAAACACAGCACUCUGCAAACACGAAAGUGGACGUAUAGGGUGUGACGCCUGCCCGGUGCCGGAAGAUUAAAUGAUGGGGUGCAAGCUCUUGAUUGAAGUCCCGGUAAACGGCGGCCGUAACUAUAACGGUCCUAAGGUAGCGAAAUUCCUUGUCGGGUAAGUUCCGACCUGCACGAAUGGCGUAACGAUGGCCACACUGUCUCCUCCCGAGACUCAGCGAAGUUGAAGUGUUUGUGAUGAUGCAAUCUCCCCGCGGCUAGACGGAAAGACCCCAUGAACCUUUACUGUAGCUUUGCAUUGGACUUUGAACCGAUCUGUGUAGGAUAGGUGGGAGGCUAUGAAGCGUGGACGCCAGUCUGCGUGGAGCCGUCCUUGAAAUACCACCCUGGUUUGUUUGAGGUUCUAACCUUGGUCCGUUAUCCGGACUGGGGACAGUGCAUGGUAGGCAGUUUGACUGGGGCGGUCUCCUCCCAAAGUGUAACGGAGGAGUACGAAGGUACGCUAGGUACGGUCGGAAAUCGUGCUGAUAGUGCAAUGGCAUAAGCGUGCUUAACUGCGAGACCGACAAGUCGAGCAGGUGCGAAAGCAGGUCAUAGUGAUCCGGUGGUUCUGUAUGGAAGGGCCAUCGCUCAACGGAUAAAAGGUACUCUGGGGAUAACAGGCUGAUACCGCCCAAGAGUUCAUAUCGACGGCGGUGUUUGGCACCUCGAUGUCGGCUCAUCUCAUCCUGGGGCUGUAGCCGGUCCCAAGGGUAUGGCUGUUCGCCAUUUAAAGAGGUACGUGAGCUGGGUUUAAAACGUCGUGAGACAGUUUGGUCCCUAUCUGCCGUGGGCGCUGGAUAUUUGAAGGGGGCUGCUCCUAGUACGAGAGGACCGGAGUGGACGAACCUCUGGUGUACCGGUUGUCACGCCAGUGGCAUCGCCGGGUAGCUAUGUUCGGAAGAGAUAACCGCUGAAAGCAUCUAAGCGGGAAACUCGCCUUAAGAUGAGAUAUCCCCGGGGCUUCGAGCCCCUUGAAGGGUCGUUCAAGACCAGGACGUUGAUAGGUCAGGUGUGGAAGCGCAGUAAUGCGUUAAGCUAACUGAUACUAAUUGCCCGUAAGGCUUGAUCCU
RNAcentral lists this ribosomal RNA (2938 nucleotides) under Paraburkholderia aspalathi. RNAcentral describes it as "23S ribosomal RNA". It matches the Rfam family "Bacterial large subunit ribosomal RNA". The record is from RNAcentral. Lineage: Bacteria; Pseudomonadati; Pseudomonadota; Betaproteobacteria; Burkholderiales; Burkholderiaceae. RNAcentral also lists the same sequence under 1 other name.